AGCUCCAAUAGCGUAUAUUAAAGUUGUUGCGGUUAAAAAGCUCGUAGUUGGAUCUCGGCGGGCAGGGGGUGGUUCGCUCUUCAGCGCUACUGCCCCGCUUUGCCCGUGUGGUUGGCGGAGGUUUCGGGGUGCUCUUCGUUGAGUGACUCGGAGCGCCGUCAGGUUUACUUUGAAAAAAUUAGAGUGCUCAAAGCAAGCUUAAUCGCUUGAAUAUUCGUGCAUGGAAUAAUAGAAUAGGAAGUCGUUUCUAUUUUGUUGGUUUUCGGAAAUCGACUUAAUGAUUAAUAGGGACAGUCGGGGGCAUUUGUAUUCAAACGACAGAGGUGAAAUUCUUGGACCGUUUGAAGACAAACUACUGCGAAAGCAUUUGCCAAGAAUGUUUUCA
RNAcentral lists this ribosomal RNA (385 nucleotides) under marine copepod environmental sample. RNAcentral's name for it is "SSU rRNA". It matches the Rfam family "Eukaryotic small subunit ribosomal RNA", at positions 587 to 972 of the family's 1831-position model. The record is from RNAcentral. Lineage: Eukaryota; Metazoa; Arthropoda; Copepoda.